Non-coding RNA from Sus scrofa (pig), 72 nucleotides. The record is from Rfam. Lineage: Eukaryota; Metazoa; Chordata; Mammalia; Artiodactyla; Suidae.
UCCCUGGUGGUCUAAUGGAUAGGACUCAGCACUUUCAUGGCUGUGGUCCAGGUUCAAUCCCUGGUCUGGGAA